This 526-nucleotide ribosomal RNA is filed under the name Melanohalea exasperatula. Its description in RNAcentral is "eukaryotic LSU rRNA". It matches the Rfam family "Eukaryotic large subunit ribosomal RNA", at positions 112 to 650 of the family's 3401-position model. Lineage: Eukaryota; Fungi; Ascomycota; Lecanoromycetes; Lecanorales; Parmeliaceae. The record is from RNAcentral.
AAUUUGAAAUCUGGCCCCUUCGGGGUCCGAGUUGUAAUUUGUAGAGAGUGCUUCGGGGGAGACCGCGGUCUAAGUCCAUUGGAACAUGGCGUCCCAGAGGGUGAGAAUCCCGUAUGUGACCGCGGCUCGAGCCCAUGUGAAGCCUCUUCGACGAGUCGAGUUGUUUGGGAAUGCAGCUCUAAAUGGGUGGUAAAUUUCAUCUAAAGCUAAAUACUGGCUGGAGACCGAUAGCGCACAAGUAGAGUGAUCGAAAGAUGAAAAGCACUUUGGAAAGAGAGUUAAACAGUACGUGAAAUUGUUGAAAGGGAAGCGCUUGCAACCAGACCUGCCCGUAGGCGAUCAACCGCUGUUCUCAGCGGUGCACUCGUUCUGCGAUCAGGCCAGCAUCGGUUCGGGCGGUUGGAUAAAGGCCUUGGGAAUGUAGCUUCCCUUCGGGGGAGUCUUAUAGCCCUCGGUGCAAUGCGGCCAGCCGGGACCGAGGACCGCGCUUCGGCUAGGAUGCUGGCGUAAUGGUUGUAAGCGACCC